RNAcentral lists this ribosomal RNA (252 nucleotides) under uncultured bacterium. RNAcentral's name for it is "partial 16S ribosomal RNA". It matches the Rfam family "Bacterial small subunit ribosomal RNA", at positions 524 to 776 of the family's 1533-position model. The record is from RNAcentral.
UACGGAGGAUGCGAGCGUUAUCCGGAUUUAUUGGGUUUAAAGGGUGCGCAGGCGGCACGGCAAGCCGGCGGUCAAAUCGCGGGGCUCAACCCCGCCCAGCCGUCGGAACUGUCGGGCUAGAGUGGGCGAGAAGUGCGCGGAAUGCGUGGUGUAGCGGUGAAAUGCAUAGAUAUCACGCAGAACUCCGAUUGCGAAGGCAGCGCACCGGCGCCCUACUGACGCUCAGGCACGAAAGCGUGGGUAUCGAACAGG